RNAcentral lists this ribosomal RNA (253 nucleotides) under uncultured bacterium. RNAcentral describes it as "partial 16S ribosomal RNA". It matches the Rfam family "Bacterial small subunit ribosomal RNA", at positions 524 to 776 of the family's 1533-position model. The record is from RNAcentral.
GACGUAGGGCGCAAGCGUUGUCCGGAAUUAUUGGGCGGAAAGAGCUCGUAGGUGGUUUGUUACGUCCGCUGUGAAAUCCUAGGGCUUAACCCUGAGCUUGCAGUGGAUACGGGCAGACUAGAGGUAGGUAGGGGAGAAUGGAAUUCCUGGUGUAGCGGUGAAAUGCGCAGAUAUCAGGAGGAACACCGGUGGCGAAGGCGGUUCUCUGGGCCUUACCUGACACUGAGGAGCGAAAGCGUGGGGAGCGAACAGG